RNAcentral lists this long non-coding RNA (1201 nucleotides) under Strigops habroptila (Kakapo). Its description in RNAcentral is "lncRNA (ENSSHBG00005013248.1)". The record is from RNAcentral. Lineage: Eukaryota; Metazoa; Chordata; Aves; Psittaciformes; Psittacidae.
UUUUUUUUUUUUCCAAUUUAUUUAUUUUAUUUAUUAUACUCACAGACAUAGUAUCAUUCAACUACUGAUUCCCAACACUAGAUACUGACCCUCCCAAUCCAAGAAGAUAGUAAAACCUCCAAAUUUUACUGGAAUUAAGUCCAAUUCGCAAAAUAUAAGCCAAGAUUUCAUGUCUCCCCUUACAGGCACUGGUGCAGUCUUCCCUGUGCUCUUUUCAAGACAAAUGAAGUAUCAGAAACUCUGGGUGGCUUUCCUUUUCUUCUACAUGAGUAAUUAGUUUUCAUGAAGCCCUUUGGUGCUACGACUUAAGUUAACAUAAUCUGCAAGGAAGACUACUCAACCUUUUUACUACAGAAUUCAAAGAUGCAAAUUAAAUAUUGCUCAAAUGUAGUCAGACUACCUCCUUAGUAACUGCUAACAUUGCUUCUCUUUUACCACUUUCCAAGAAAUGAGUUUAGCAUGCCAAGCUUUAAUAAAUUUUAGCUAUAAAUUGUAUAUCCAUCCCUUUGUCAUAUUACUAAGCUCAAUUUGCUAGUAAACACAAGACAGCACUGUCAAAACAGAAAACAGCCUCAACAGCAAGCUUUAAGGACCACGUCCUGUUUACAGUUUCAUGUAACUGAGAAAUCCAUAACAUACAUUGUCAAGAACUCAUUUUUACAUAAUUUUCUCCUUGACAUUGUUAUUUCACUACAGUCAGUACUUUCAUCAAGGAAACAUUGCCAUGCACAGAUAUACAGCAGAACAUCCAGUGCCAUUCUGGAGGGCUGCAGAUCGCAUUUUCCCCUUUUGGAUCAUUUAAGCAGAUAACCAAAUUCAAAGACCCAUCUGUUGUACUCUGGAUAAGGCACUUGACGCAAACGAGCAAUACAGCACCAGACAGGUGUGUGAAAAAAGUCUGGAUGUAACUUUUCUUCAUCAUUUAUACCUAAACAAGGAAUAGUUCUGUAACGAUUGUGCUCUUUCAGUCUGAAGUAAUCUUCUUGCAACAGCUUGUGCAGCUUUUAUUAACUGCUUCACAUUCUUCCCUAAACUUACUAGUUAUGGCCACAUAAAUAUUUUGAAAACUUUCCGAGGUUUAUUCUAACACAGAUUCUAUUUAAAAUAAACUCAAGGUGCACUUCAAAGGGGCAUGCAGGAUACUCAUUAGAACUUGUGAAAUAUUACCGUGAAAUCACAAUAAUAAAAUUUUAAUCUGCCC